RNA transcript from Pristis pectinata (smalltooth sawfish), 14693 nucleotides. It is a transcript of the gene named one cut homeobox 2, with no coding region annotated. Lineage: Eukaryota; Metazoa; Chordata; Chondrichthyes; Rhinopristiformes; Pristidae. The record is from RefSeq and is a predicted model, not a curated record. The transcript has 3 exons.
UUUAGGUUGAACCAGGAGCGAAUGCGUCUAGGGCUGGCUCCAGCUGUCUAAACAGUCGACGUAGGAGGAGGACAGGCUCGGACAUGGCGAGAAACAGCACUGACCCGCCUGAGAGUUAUCGGUGAUCUUUGCAACCCGUGAGGCCUUAACAUUUUUGUCUUUCUUUUCUUUUUUGACAUAUAUAUGUGUUUAUAUGUAUGUAUGUGUGUAUAUACUCUCAUCUAUACAUGCAUAUAUAUGUAGCAAGAAAAUCCCUUGAUUUACCAAGCCAAAAGAAAAAUAAUUAUAAUCGUUAAUGGACUGAAUGAACAACGCGUAUAGAUGUAUAGCCAAAGAGGUAUAUGCCAUGAACCCGGAGAUUACAAUGGACAGCAUUGGGAAUUUGCAUGGUGGAAUAAGCCAUGAGCAAUCCACGGGCGAUCUAAUGAACAGCCAGCAGCGGCAGGCAGUUUCAGCGGCUCAUCGGGAACUGACGACCAGAUCUGCAAUGGUAUCCAGCAUGGCCUCCAUCCUGGAUGGGACUGGGGACUACCGGCCGGAGCUCUCUAUCCCGCUGCACCCGGCAAUGAGCAUGUCCUGCGAGUCUCCGCCUGGCAUGGGCAUGAGCAGCACCUAUACCACACUCACACCACUCCAGCCCCUGCCUCCUAUAUCCACCGUCUCGGAUAAGUUCCACCACCCUCACCACCACCAUCAUCACCACCACCACCAUCACCACCAGCGACUCGCGGGCAACGUGAGCGGGAGCUUUACCCUGAUGCGGGAUGAAAGGGGGUUGCCCGCUGCCAUGAACAAUCUCUACAGCCCCUACCACAAGGACAUGCCCGGGAUGACUCAGAACCUCUCUCCUCUGUCCAGCAACCCUCUCGGAAAUGGCCUGGCUUCCAUCCACAACAGUCAUCAGGGCAUCCAGGGCUACGGGUCCAACAGUCACGACAAGAUGCUCAGCCCAAACUUCGAAGCCCACCCGGCCAUGCUGGCCAGAGGGGACCAGCACCUAUCUCGGGGUCUCGGCGCCCCGUCGGCGGGAAUGAUGCCCCAUUUGAACGGCAUGCAUCACCAUCACCACCACGGUCACUCAAGUCACCAUCAGUCUCACGGGCCCGUGUUGGCUUCAAGCCGCGAUCGGCCUCCGUCCUCCUCCGGCUCGCAGACCACCAGCUCGGGCCAGCUGGAAGAAAUUAAUACCAAAGAAGUAGCACAAAGGAUCACAGCGGAACUCAAACGCUACAGCAUACCGCAGGCGAUCUUCGCUCAGAGGGUGCUGUGCCGUUCGCAGGGAACCCUCUCUGACCUUUUAAGAAACCCCAAGCCUUGGAGUAAACUUAAAUCGGGACGGGAGACCUUCAGGCGGAUGUGGAAAUGGCUGCAGGAGCCUGAGUUCCAGAGAAUGUCAGCCUUAAGGCUCGCAGCGUGCAAACGCAAAGAACAAGAACAGAACAAAGAGAAGAGCAAUACACCAAAGAAGCCACGGCUAGUUUUCACUGACCUCCAACGCCGAACUCUUUUCGCCAUUUUCAAAGAAAAUAAGCGUCCUUCCAAGGAGAUGCAGAUCACAAUCUCGCAACAGCUCGGUCUGGAGUUAAGCACCGUCAGUAAUUUCUUCAUGAACGCCCGGAGGCGAAGCCUGGACAAGUGGCAGGACGAAGCCAUGUCAAGCCCAGGCGCUUCAUCGUCGACCUCAAGCACUUGUACCAAAGCAUGAUUGAGGACAGUGCACCUGAACUGGGCACAACUCAACACCUUUUCCUUAUUUCUUUUUUGCUUUUUGAAGAGGCUGUUCAGUGGUGAGUGCAUAAGCACAAUUUUCAUUAAACACCUUUUUUUAAUAUAUAAAAAAAGUUUAACACCUUUUUUUAAAUAUAUAAAAAAAGGGACGGCACAUACUUUAAUGCGUCUGGCAUUUAAGAUUAUCCCCCAAAUCACUUGAGCGUUUGCUUAUAAACUGACAUGGAACCUAGGAGUCAGUUCGGUGAAUUUUCGGAUGUAAUCAGGCAGGGUACAAUGAGUUAUGUUGCCAAGCAAUAACCUGUCUAGUGCUUUGCCUGAAGGUUAAGGGAAAGUUAGAUCCGUUUGUGAGUUGGUUCAGUUGUCAGUUCGUGGUCAAGCGACACAACGAUUUUAUAUGUGGGGAAACAUGCACAGAUUCCGAAAGUAAGUGACGCCCAUUUUGAAGAUGUUUUCUUUAAAGCAGUAGAAUUAUUGGAGAGCAUUUGUACAAUCAUGCUACCUCAUCACUAAUCGGACUAUUUAACAAUGGGCUGUUGGUGAUGAGUAUGCAAGCACAAACUAUCAAAAGCAUCCUGGACAUUUCCAAGCCUACUUUCACGCUGCACAAUUUGAUUUUUUUGAAUGAUGCUUUCAAGCGUGCGCUCGCCACCAUAUCCACUCCCUGGGUAGAGCUGAUAACGGCGAGGAUGCAAGCACAACAUUCAAGCGCAUUCCUUUCAAUCAUGAAUUCUGUGACAUUCUGUAAUAUCCAGCCAUAUGGUCUCCUUUUUCCUGUUUGCUCUCUGAAAAUAUCAGGACCGUUGAGUCCUAACAGCAGCUGUUGGCUGUUGGAAGGGUAAUUAUUAUUUGUCUUAAUAGUUGUAGGUCAUUAUUGCAAUCCUAUACUUAGUUUCUAUUCAUGAGCAAGGCUAGUUUAGUACUGCAAACGCACUGAGUAGCCCAUGGAAAGGGGGCUUCCCAUGGUGAGUGCAGAAGCACAAGCAUUAACUAGCUUUAUUAUUCCUAAAGCGAGGCAUCAACGCAUCUUUUUCCUCCCACAUGUGCACAUUCACCACUGAACGGGCCCUUUAAGAACACCGUUGGCGUGUUCAAAGGCAAGCCAAAGGCUUUAAAGACUCUCGUGAAGACACUUGAUACUUUUUUUUCUAUUUAUUAUUAAAUCGAAACCAAAGAAACUUUUUCUGCACCUAAUUGUUCUGCAACAAACUUGUAAAAAAAAGCACGUCAGGAAACAACGUAGGCACUGUGUUUCAAUGGAUGUCUUAGUCGUUUAGGGAAGCAGAGUUUUGAAAGGGUUAGAAAGCAAAGCAGCAACAAGAAGGAAGCAAUGCCAGGGUCAUCGCUGCUUCAUUUGACGACACUCUCCGCCUCUUAAAGUUGAAUAUUGUCUUUAACGUGUGCCUAUGCAGUUUUUGAGAGACGUUGUACAGAACAACAGAAAACCUCUUCCGCUUCGACCAAAGUCAGCUUCACAGAGACGUGGAUCUGCUUGUAUUUUUUUAUGCAACACAGUUGAGUGCUGUUUGCAUUACUGGCCUGUCCUUCAAUGCCCAUCUUAUUAAGAGAGGGAAAUGCCCACCCAAUUUUACAAUUUCCUCUUAAUUAGCGAUUCCAGUGGAACAGGAUACCGACAAAUGGAUCCAAAUGGCUCCAAGCACAAGAUGUUAAGGUGCAGAUUAAACACCUCUACCAAAGACAGCAACCUAUUCCCAUAUCCCGCUCAGCAUCUUGUGCAUGGAGUCCAUGCACACGUCUAAGAUGAGUUCAACUUUCAAGAAUAUCAGGAAAUAUCCAAGAAUUUUACAAAAAGAAGACAGUGCAGUAUUGGUAUACUGUAUUCCAAAGGCUUUAUCCAGGAAUGUGGAAGCUUUUAUCCUUAAACAAAGCUAUAUCCAAAGAAACCAAACCGAUUGGACCAGCAAAUUGAAGGUAGUCCCCACAGAGAGAAUCAGCGGUAUUUUCCCUGUGUGGCUCUUAUUAUUUUUUACCAACUUGGCUGUUAAAAAUAUACCAUAUUGUGGCAACAAGUUCAGACAGCUGACAGUGAUAUUUGCAUUGCAAGUCACAAUACCCACAUGCCAUGUAAGUGAUUUAACUAACGAAAGCUGAUUUCUAAACAAGUUAGUAAUUUUUAAAGUGCUUUUGACUGUAGGUUAGAAAUUUUAAAAAAGCUAUAUUAGCUUUAUUAUUAUUAUUUGUAUUAUUAUUUGGGGUAUUUAUUGUGAACUAUAUAUUUAAACAGUGAUUUUUCUCUUAUUUAUCAAAUACUAUAAAUGCAUUUAAAAUAAAAGAUGUAGUGCUUCGGAUGGCCUCGAGUUUUCACACUGUCUGUUUAUUUUAUAAAGCAGACACGGUUAAUUCUUUAACUUUCACUCUUUUGUUUUUGUUAGAAAAAAACAAAUUACCACUGGGAAUAACAUUGCAAGCACAUAACUAUACAUUUAACACAAAUCCACUUCUGCUUCCUGUAAAAUUGUGGAAGCAUUAGGUUUUCCCAAACUGUAUCAGUAGGCAUCCAAUAAUAGUUGAACUUGGUGCUUUCUGUGCAAAAACUACCUGAGCCAAUCUAAUGUUUUUAUUAUUGUUACCUGUUUUUGGAUUUUAGGGCCUUCAAGCACUUCAUCUUUUAUUCUGAAUUUUCAAUGCCAAAGAAUUAUUCCACUAUAAGCGCUGAAAGAUAACCCUUCAGUCUUACUAAUAAUUACAUGGAUGAGCAAUGAUUUUAUAUGGAACAAUACAGCAUGUACUGAUGGGAAAAUGAAUCCACAACAGGAAAAACUUUAAUGAUCUUUCCACCAUUGUUUAGCCCUGUGUCCAAAUGACUUUAGAUAACUUCUUUUGAUUGUGAAGAAGUCUUUAGCAUUAGUGACAAGAGACAGAAAACAAAACCCUGAACUCGCUGCUUCCAGGUAUGAACUAUAUGUAAAAGCUCUUUCUACUUCUAGUGAGAACCAAAGAGGCUACCUCACUGAAUUUUUCCAUUUGUAAUUUUAAUCGCGUCGAUGAUACCAAAGAUACCAAAGAUUUCUUUCUCUGCACGGUCUGCCUUUUGCUCCUGCUCAUGUAUAGACUGUCUCCUAAGUACAGCUGCAACUCAGAUACCCCAAAGAUCUAAAUGGUCAUGUGCACUGAUUCUAAAUGUGUGUUUUUUUUUCUGUGCUGUUAAAAAUUUCCUUAAUAGAAUCCAUCAUCAGAGAUUAAACGUACUAUAUUUAACGUGUUAGAGAAACUUAAUUGUUGUACUUGUGGUCCAUAUUUUUUAUUCAAAAGAAAGCUAAUGUCACCAGCAUUUUGCUGUUAUUGUGCUUAUUAUGUCAAAUAUUAAUCCAAAAUAUGCAGCAGUAUUGAUUGGAAUUAAUUUAAAAUAAUUUGUAUUUACAAUGUGUGAUUAUGCUGUUUAUUGAAUUCUGUACUUUCUAAAUUAAAAUGAGUAAUUUUUCUGAAGGAACCUAGAAAAUACAAAGUCAAAUUGUUAAUUCAAUGUAAGGCUUGUCGUUAUUCUGAUAUGGUGGCAAGGUGAGUUGGUAAAUCAGCUAUGAUCUGCCACUCAGAUUCUCUUUGUUUGAUUCAGCAAUAUCUAACACACAUACUUCUAUAUUCUUCUCUAUUCUAAACAGAAGAACACAUGGCAUCUAGAGUUAGUUCUGUCAUCGUAAUUCAGGGCCUGAUUUAUUUUUCAUUAGUGCAAUGUCAAUUUAAUUCCUAAAAUAAAACAAACCAAGAAUACAUUUGACCAGUUGUUAUUUAGAUCCUUUUUAAGAGGUUUUGGAUUGAACAACAUAUUUUUAAAUUAAAAUCUACAUGAGAAAAUGGUAAUAGGGAAUAAAACUUAAAUUGCAACAGAAAAUAUCCAUCAGAAUUGAACUCUUCUUUAAAAAAAUUCUUGCACACUGAACCUGAUAUGAGAAUGAAUCUUCUGCUCAUCACCUUAUGAUCUCUUGGGGAAAAAAUUGAGUUAAUUAAAGCAAUUGUGUUUUGCUUGCUGUUUAAUUCGCACUGUCUGUACGUAUACAAAAUUGAAGAAUCCAAAGCUAAAAAGGAUAGAAAUAACUAAUUCAAGUUUAUUUCCUAAUAAACUAUGCAAAGAUUACUUUAUUGCAUUAAAAAUUCCUUGCAUCUAUUUGUAUAAAAUGUACCCUCAUAAACUCAGUUUAUUUUUGCUACCCUAGGGCAGAAAAUAAAAUCUCUCUGAUGUAUAAUCAUGUGAAAUGUUCCCAAGUCUUGAAUUUUUUUUUACAGGAAUUUCAAGAAGAUGGCACCCUUUUAUUCUGGGAAGAUUAAUUUGACUUUAAUUGAACUUAUUUGUACUCAGAUAAUGUCAAUCAAUCCAGUGCCUAGAUUGUUCAAUGUUUUUUGUCUUCGAUAGCAUUAGUAAUUUACCCAAAUCAUAUACCAUUUAUUAAUGCACAGAAAAAAUUAACAAAAACACAUCCUGAAUUAGUGCCCACCGUUACCAAAAUACCUGUUUUCUAAUAUCUAGAUGCACGCUUUAGUUGCAAAGUGUGAUAAACCACGGGACGAGUGCCUUGCUUGAACCAAAGCGGUGUUUCUUUCCAGUUUCGAAACCUCUGUGCAUUUUUUUAUUCCUGUGAAUACCUCAGCUUCAAAAGGCCACCAUUUUUUUUAUUGCUGGUGAGCCCAAUACUGUGGUGCUUUGCAAUGCAACCAUGCAAAGAACUAAACAAAGAUACCAAAGUUUUCUCUCGAUCUCAGUCUCUAUCUUCUUUCUCUUUAAGAUACCAAAGCUUUAAAAAAAACUGAAUUGAGUAGGUUGGCAGCGCAGACCGUGCAUUCCUUACCGAAUUUUCUCAGAUAUACCUCAUAGAUAAUAGUGUCUAGAGUGAUGUUAUUAUAGCAUAUGUAAUAAAUUAUUCACUCGUUUUUUGGUAACUGUGACUAUGAUAUAAAAAAAGCUUUAUACGUUUUAAGUUGUGAUUUUUGUAAUAGUUGACAGGUGCGCUUAUGGAAGGAUUGUAUAUGUUUCAUGGAAUUUGGGGAAGUUGCAGAACUAGCCCAAAGUUUACAGUUUUCAUAUUCUGAAGAAACAAUCCAUUGUUUAUUUUUCUUUGUGUGCGUGUGUAUGUGCAUUUAAGAUGCGUUUAUUUCCACAUUGUCCUACAUAGACUUAUUGACUAAUUGUUAUGUGUUGAAAGUGUAGUGUUAAAAUUAGCAACUGCCAAACAGUGCUAUAAUUUUAUGCAUGAAGCUGUAAAAAAAAAUUUAGCAAAGGUGAUGCAUUGUGAUUAUUGAGAGUAAUAUUUUUUAAUUUAAGGAAAUAGUUUUUUUUUCUUUUUUAAAAAUAGAUUUUAUUUAUGCAUGAGAGCCUGUUAUUUGUUAGACAUUGUGGAACAGUUGUGUAUAUAUUGGACUGUGAAAGCAAACACAGUUGAAUUGAAUACACUGGAUAAGUUGGCGCACAGGGAUUGGGAUGUGUUAAUGUGUCAAUUUAAAAAAAAAACAAAAAUAAGACUUGGAAUAAAGUCAAGUCCUGCACACAGCUAAUACGUUUCUCCAAAUCACACUAUUGUCACUUACAAUGGCUUUCAACGGAUGACAUAACUAUGACAAGAGAAAGCAUUUUCCAGAUUAAGGUAACACCCAAACAAAAUUAAUUCAGUUAUUAGGUAAAAUUUCUGAUGUGUGGAUGUUUAUAACUAGCACUCUUGGCAAUCUGAUCAAGAGAAGUGAUUUUGUUUUAUUAUUUAUUUGCCAAAGACAAGGAUGGAGUACGUAAGUUUAGAUCAGUGAAGAGGCAGUCAGCAGUUGUUUGUUCAUAUAUGUGUAUUUUUUCUUUCUCUUCCAGAAAAUUAUUAGUGUUCUUCCUUAGGAUAAAAGAGUGACUCCUUGUGUAAAAACACAUUUCUAAUACCUAUAUUUUUCAAAUUUGAUUUGGGUAAGAUUAUUGGUUCAAAUCUCACUGAAUCCUUGAACAAAAGGAUUUGAAUGUUUUCCUUAUAAUUUUAAAAGUUUGACAAACAUAAUAGGAGAUGUGAGUUGAUGCAAAGGUUGUUUAUGUAAUAAUCAAUACAGAGUAAAAGGGACUUGAUUAUUAUUGACUAAUGCAUGCCCAGAUUAGUUUUUUUUUGCAUUUUGCUUAAAUCUAAGUCAACAGAGCUUCAGGAAACAUUAUGUGACAAUUGUUAAGAAUACCAUUGUUCUCUUACUCUUAACAUUCAACAAUGAGUGAUUGAAGAGCAUUCAAAGGCUGGGGAGAUGCUUAUUCUUCCGAUUUUGAGGCAACUUUAAUCCUACCUUCCCGUAGGGAAGCUGAAAAUAUCAGGAACAACACUAGUUUUACAAGCAGCCUGAUACUAUUCGCCAAUGGAGAUCAAUGUUGGGUGGAGUGGAAAACUGGUAUUCCAUCCAUUUCUGAUGUUUUUCCACCUGAUGAGGUAGGUUAAAAUAUUCAUAGUGGGUCCCUACUAGUUGUGGUUUCCUGUGACUUGAUUGCUAACGUAUUCACUAAUGUACUUACUUUUCUACUCCUGUCAGUUUCUUUACAAAUGAGUCCAGAUUGAGAGGCAGACUGUAUCUCCAACAGUGGAAACUGACUGGGAGGAAGGUAGCUUUUGGUCUUAAGAACGAAUUUGCCGUGAUUAAUUCUUUUAAUAUCUAUGGAUGUGUUAAGAUGGUUUGCACCUCUUCUUCAUCAUUCAUGGCGUCCUUCCUGUGUUAUGUUUACUGUUGUUCUUUUAUCAUGCUUUCUACUUCAAUUUCUGACAUCCUCCCUAUCUAUUUGAUAAUCUCACUAAAAAAAAUGAGGGGCAAGUUGACAUUUUUCAAUCUCCUUUUGGCUUUGACUCUUAGUAAGAGUAAUUCCACAGAGGUGAUUUUUCAGUAGCAUGAGGUUACACCAAGAGGUUCACUAUCCUGAAGAUCACAGUGCCAUUAUAUUAGCAGAUGAAUACUUUGUACAUUGAUACAAUCUCCUUCUCAGUACUAUUUGUUAAUAUCUUUAUUUAAAGUAGUUUGAUGCAUGCAUCAAAGUAGUAGACAAGAGGAACCUAUAUGUCAAAUUAUUAUCUAUUUAAAAAAAAGUGUCAUCUACAAGAAGCAAUGCAGCAACCUGCUAAGGCUUUUUUGGCAUCACCUCCCAAAUAUGCAACCACUAUCACCUAGGCAUAGCAGCAGGUACAUGGUAACACCACCAACUACGAGUCCCCCUCCAAGUCACAUACCAUCCAGACUUGGAAGUACAUUGUCAUUACUUGCUGCUGAUUCAAAAUCCUGAAAUUCCAUACCUAAUAGCACUUAGAAGUAUCAUUGCCACAUGGAUUGCGCUAAUUCAAAAAGACAGGUCAUUUCUCCCUUUCUAAGGGAAAUUAGGAAUGUGCAUGAAAUGCUACUCUUGUUGGUGAUAUCCACAUCCUAAGAAUAAAUAACAAUAUUAGUAAUAGCAAUUGACUAAGCUGGAUAUGUUUGGCAUAAUCACAACAAGUAGAGCUAAUGAGGUAUGAGGUCAAACUCAAGGUAAAAAAAAAUUAUUGGGAAUUAAUUACUGGUGUUGACAAUGUGGAGCAGAUGAUACAGAGACAAUAGUGGAAGGUAGUGUUGCAAAUUGAAAAAGAAAUUGGUUUGAAUUGGGAGAGAAGGUGAUUGAAGGGCUUGAGAGAAAAUAGUGAAGUAGUCAUUUAUGUAUUGCAUUUCACAGAUUGGUCAGGUGGACUAAGUCAGCUUUGUUUCAUUUUCUAUACCUUGAGCGGAAACAACCUUGUUUGAGAGAUUCUGUGUUAAAUAAGCAGAACUCCAUAUUAGAUUGUGUCCAUACGUGCUGGUGUGCUCCAUACCACACUUGACAGGGUUUGCUAUAAACAGCAUAUACUGUAUACCUGACAUUGAACCACUAAACUCAGUUCAAAAAAAAAUAAUGCCAUGUUUUGGUAUGGCAGAAACUGAUUUAAAUAAAGAUUCUGAAAGCUUAGAGUGAGUGUGGAACAUGAUCAAGUGUCACACCUGAAGUGAUACCCCUUCUUAGUAUUCCACCUGCUGGCAACUCGCUGUGUAUUGUGAACAUGUUCUGAUCUUGAGUAAGUUAAGGUACCUUGAACAGCUGAUCACUUUGGCAGAGUAUUGACCACCAAUAAAACCCAUACUGAAACUAUGUAUUUCUACUAAUACGAUGGGAAUCCUUAAAAAUAGUACCAUCUCUAACUCAACAAUAAAAGGCAAAUUCAUAACUAUGACUGGAGAUUACAGCCAGGGGAAUAGAGAUGUAUUGGACCAAUAAAAUCUUCAGAUCAGUCAUAUUGAAAUUAGUACUUACUUCUUAAAUUAUAAGUAAAAUCAUCUCAGCUCUGGUUGUAAUGGAUUAGCUUCAUGUAAAGCACCCUUAUUCUGUCUCCAGAAAAUUGAUUGUAGGUGGACAAUUUGUGGAAUUGGCCAGCAGCAGCCAGGGUUACCUUUAACAGUAUUCAAGGAAAGUUUACACAAGACUUUCAAAUUGUAACAGAUGCUCAUGUCCUAAUUGUAACGAGUUCCCAAGAACAACAAUUUAUGCACCAAACAUUGAUUCCUCUGAGGAAUUUUUUUCACCCCUUAAAGCAUUUGUAACACAUGUAUCACUGGGCUAGUGGCACAAAACGGGAAGGAUUUCAUCAGCCACCUAAUGUUCAAUUUCAUUGCAAUCAGUGUAUAUUGUUCAUUACCCUGUGUAUAAAGGGCAGCUAAUUCAGUACUCCCCUUUUUACACUACCAACUAAGAUGAAUUUCCAAGACUUCCAAAUUGUGCCUUUACAUAAUAAAAUUAGCAAAAUCAAGGAGAGUUUUUAAAGUGCAUACUGUUCCUCUGAUAAAAAUGUGCCACUUAUUAGUUUUGUACAUUGUAGUAUUAUUGCAACCAUCAGAUUGCUAAAAAAUACUAAUUUAUUAAUAAUUGAUGUUUAAAAACUUUUGUGUAAAGAUUGAGCCAAAAUUCUGGAAGUCUGAAUAAACAUGCUGGAAAUAGACAGCAGUUUCAUCAUCAUCUGAAAGGUUGGCAUUAGAAGUAAAACCUAUUCAUCAAUAUGGAAAUAGGAGGGGUGGGGUAAGGCAAGAAUCUUUACCAGUCUGAACAAAUAAAAUGGAGACAGAAGUACAACAGAGACAAGUUGGCAGUCAUUCAUGUACCUAAUAUCACCAAUGGUCAUUGGACAAGCUCAACCAUUUGUGAAAAUUACUUUAAACAUGUUAAAGCUGAAAAAACAACAUUGAAUAUUCCAAAAAAAACACAAAUGCAGGCUUUCUUGUGAUAGUAGAAAGCAUCAUAGCAGGCCUGUUUGCAGGAACUUGGAGGGCACACAUGUAUUAAACAUCUACACAUUAAACAUCUACACACGUGUACUCAUUUUAAAAUGAUAAUGAUUGCAUGGACAUGGUGCCCCUGUUAACCACCCUGCAACACCCUUGCAAGUCCCAGGGUACCAGACCAUUAACUGUCUAUUCUCUUAUCUCCUCUUGGUUUAGUUCACUUCAAAGGAGAAGCUCACUCUCCUUUUCAUUUCCAAUUCUGAGAAAAUCUGUACCUGAAAUGCUAGCUUAGGUUUUUACUCUUAACAGUAUUACAAAGACUUCCCAUUAAUAUAAUUGAAGUUACUUGCAAAUGAGAGAAUAUGGCUAACAAGAAAUAAAAUAUUUGGAUUCUUAUAACCAUCAGUGAUUAUAAGUUUGAAAUUAAUUUGAGAAAUCCAUCAAAGGUGUUUUGAAAACAUUGAUUAAAAUAACCUUGUGAAACUAGGCUGUUAAUCACAGGUCACUCUGGACCUCAGCACAUACUGUACUUCGGAGACUCCAUAGACAAUCUUAAUUUCAGGAGGCACAAUGAUCUGAGAAUUAAAGCAAAAUGUGGAAAACCAUUGGGCAAUUAAAUAAUAAUGAGUCUCUUGGAUAAAACCACAGUAAGUCUAGAAAUGAAAUCUCCAAACAAAUAAAGCCCAAGAAAUAGCAGGUUAUGCUGAAAAGUUAACAAUAUAUGAUUUUGUCAAUCUUUUGGGACAUGCAAUAAAUUCAGAGUUGUGGCAUUUGUGAUCAUGAACCUUUUGCUUCUGGAAAAGAAACAUGAAUUCUGAUUAUAUCUCUUAACAAUAUUUUAGUUUCAUCUCCAGGACUGAAUCCUGUUCUCUUCAAGCUAUUUGUUCGUACUGUUAAAUAAUAUUAAAAAUCAUCUGAAAAAUAUAAGAAAUUCAGUUAUGCAAUUUAUUGAUGUGAACACCUUGGAAUCUUUAUAAUCCAAAGCUGCACAUUUGCACCAUUUUAAUUCAAUUACUCUUCUAAAGUGCUAUCUGAAGUUUGCCAAUCCCUACAAUAAAAAAAAUCCACAGAUUUUUUUCAAUUAUACCUGCUAUCCACUGCUUGGUAUAGCUGUUUGUAAGAAAUGUUGAAUUAGUAUUCAAUUGCUGUUUACAAAAAUAAUGAAAUAUUUGCAAUCACCAUAUCUCUAAUAUGUCCCUGUCAUCUCAAUAUUUUAAAAUUAUUUUGCUUAUGACUUGAUUACUUAUUACAAUGUCAAUUAUGAUGGCUAUUAUUAUAUCAGGAGACUUUGUCCAAUAUUUUCAGGUCCAUUCCUAACUAUUCAUUUCUCAUAUAAUCCUUACUGUGAGUAUCUUCUUAUAUGUGGGCAAUUAACUAUUCUGCAGGCAGGAUAUAAGUAUUAGUUAACAAGAAAAAUGCCUUCUGGUCCAACCUUGAAGUCUUCUGGAAUAAGCAUAGAAUAAUCUUCAUCUUCAAAGCAGGUGGAUCUGUAACGGAGAAAGAGGUUCCCUUAAAUAAUGUUAUCUUGUUGAAGAAGGAGGGGGCGUAUUAACCUGUCAGUUAAAUUCCAGCACACCAUAUUUAAUCAAUUAGCAACAUUAGAGACAUGUCACUGGAUGAGAGUGUAUCGGGCUGUAAAUAGGGAGUAGGGAAUAUAUUGAGGGACUUUGAACAUAACCCUGCACCCUGAAAAUAAUAUCUUGGGUUACAGUACAAUUAAAUUGAGAAUUAAAGCGAAAUGUGGAAACCUCAUAGAAAUUUCAAAUUGCUUUUGAAAUAUAAUUUUCCCUCCCUGAAAUUAAUAAACAAAGCUAAAACCAUUGGGCAAUGAAAUAUUAACGAGUCUCUUGGAUAAAACCACAGAAAGUCUGAAGUAUUAUUUUGAUACAUUUAGUUUAUUUUCAUUACUGUUUCAUUGCUUUAUUUUGUUAUCAACAUUCAUUUAAACCUGCUUUGGAGUUAUCACACCUUAUCAUUGGGUGCACCCAUGAUACAUCCAUUUUCUUGUACUGCAGUGAUUGCAGGGUGAUUCAUGCUGAAGGAACCAUAUGAGGUCAUCUGCUUUUAAUUUAGUUUGGCAUCAGAUGCUGUAUUAUUAAAAAAUUAAUUCUAGAAAAUCUUUAAAUUUUUAUCUUUGUUUAAUGUUAAUGAAGUGGCCACUGUAUCAUCAUUCCAUUCCCAAAGUUUAUAAUGUCACUAUUGUUCAGCAAAGUUCAACACUGUGCAGAACAGGAGUGACCCUGGGGUGGAAUUGGUUGUUGGGGUGUGCAUUGGUGGCUGUUGAAUGGCUAGUGUUUCACUCUGAAUAUGAUGGUGGGCAUUUAUUAUUUGGAAGCACUGAGAGUCCAUUCCUUGAAUGUUGGAUGGAGGUAUCUGAGACCUCAGAAACCCAGCCUGCCCUAAGACAGGUGAUAAGUGCAAAGGUGCCAGGGAACUUGCACAUAAGUUGUGUGCUAUGGCUUAUGAAGCAUCCAAUCCUGAGGUUCAUUGCAUGGCUGUCCUGUUUCCAUGGCAUCUGAUUAGAUUGGGAAGCUGGUAUUAAAAAAAUAAUCAACCUGUUCUGCCUUUUGGUCUCUUGGCAACUUAGGUCACACUUUCAGUGCCCAUCUGUCCUCCCAGAUACCAGUAUAGUUUCUGCUCACACUAAAAUUGUGGCCUCUGCGUGUGGUGAGAGGUGUACUCUGAAUACCAAUGAGUAAUACUGAUUGAAUGGCUUAACAGAAUCUGUGUAAUCAGCUCAUUAACCCUGUAGAGCCAAUGGUAUAGAACAUAUGCCACCAUAACUGCCCCACUACUCAAAGUCAAAUAUACAAAGUCAAAUAUACAAUUGUGCAGAAUUCUACUCAAUCCUUAACUUAUCUCAUUUGGGAUGUUUCCAGACAGAGACCAGACACUUCUCCAGUCUAACUCAGUUAUGAGUAUAAGGUGUCAAACUCCUUUCUGCUGUAUAACCUGACUAUCAAUAUAUCACUGUCACUAUGGCAGCCUCCUUAAUGGGCCUUCUCAGUCCUUGCUAACUUUGUGCUGUUCACCUUUCAAUACUUAAAUAAGUUUGAACUAAAUUUCAUACUUUAUAUGUGGGUGUUAUAGCACAAGGAAUCACAAACAGCAUUUAUAAAAUGUGCUUUUCAAGACUAUGCAAAGGAAAACAAAGUCAAAUAUACAAUUGUGCAGAAUUCUACUCAAUCCUGCCUGUUAGUGUUUGCAAAAAGUGGAUGAACAGAACAAACUUUGACAGUAACUGUUUUCAUUCCUCUAGCAGCGUGAUUAAAAAUACAAUUUUUUUGCGUAAACUCACAUUCUCCUUUAAUUAAUUGUUCUAAAUAAACACACAAUGCUCAUUGUUAGUUAAGUUCUUCUCAUGUUUUUAUUAUUUAUUAAGCUUAAUGUUUGCGCCUGACGCUGUGCAAUAUCCGUAGCUGUGUAAAACGCGAGUUACAACCUGCUGUAUCAGUGUUACGUGUUUCAACUAUUGCAUAGUUUAAGCUUUUAUUGUCGUUGAUGUUGAUGUAUCCGGGCACUUUAAAAACCUUUGAUAGGUUCCCAAUACUUUAGUUUCCGUUGCUUGUUUGUAUACUGUUUUCUUGCUGUUUAAACAUAUGCCCUCCAUCAGAUGCAUAAGUGUUGUCUGCAUCAUGCUGGAAUAUGUUUUUUUAAAUUGUUUUUUAAAUUUUCGCUAUCAUCAAAUGGUAGUGCUGUAAAUUCUGCAAUUAUUGUCCAAUAAACUGCUUUUAUUC